GAGUUUGAUCCUGGCUCAGGAUGAACGCUGGCGGCGUGCCUAACACAUGCAAGUCGAACGAAGCACCUUACCUGAUUCUUCGGAUGAAGGCCUGGUGACUGAGUGGCGGACGGGUGAGUAACGCGUGGGUAACCUGCCCUGUACAGGGGGAUAACAGCUGGAAACGGCUGCUAAUACCGCAUAAGCGCACGAGGAGACAUCUCCUUGUGUGAAAAACUCCGGUGGUACAGGAUGGGCCCGCGUCUGAUUAGCUGGUUGGCAGGGUAACGGCCUACCAAGGCAACGAUCAGUAGCCGGUCUGAGAGGAUGAACGGCCACAUUGGAACUGAGACACGGUCCAAACUCCUACGGGAGGCAGCAGUGGGGAAUAUUGCACAAUGGGGGAAACCCUGAUGCAGCAACGCCGCGUGAGUGAAGAAGUAUUUCGGUAUGUAAAGCUCUAUCAGCAGGGAAGAUAAUGACGGUACCUGACUAAGAAGCUCCGGCUAAAUACGUGCCAGCCGCCGCGGUAAUUC
RNAcentral lists this ribosomal RNA (515 nucleotides) under uncultured bacterium. Its description in RNAcentral is "bacterial SSU rRNA". It matches the Rfam family "Bacterial small subunit ribosomal RNA", at positions 9 to 526 of the family's 1533-position model. The record is from RNAcentral.